This 253-nucleotide ribosomal RNA is filed under the name uncultured bacterium. RNAcentral describes it as "partial 16S ribosomal RNA". It matches the Rfam family "Bacterial small subunit ribosomal RNA", at positions 524 to 776 of the family's 1533-position model. The record is from RNAcentral.
GACGAGGGAUCCUAGCGUUGCUCGGAAUUAUUGGGCGUAAAGCGGGUGUAGGUGGCUUGGUAAGUCGGGUGUGAAAGCCCAGGGCUCAACCCUGGAAGUGCAUUCGAUACUGCUAAGCUUGAGUGCGAGAGAGGUUAAUAGAAUACCUGGUGUAGUGGUGAAAUACGUAGAUAUCAGGUGGAACACCGGAGGCGAAGGCGGUUAACUGGCUCGACACUGACACUGAGACCCGAAAGUGCGGGGAUCAAACAGG